Molecule: ribosomal RNA, 400 nt
Filed under: Staphylococcus aureus
Lineage: Bacteria; Bacillati; Bacillota; Bacilli; Caryophanales; Staphylococcaceae
Description: partial 23S ribosomal RNA
Rfam family: Bacterial large subunit ribosomal RNA
Source: RNAcentral
GAAGAGCCGCAGUGAAUAGGCCCAAGCGACUGUUUAUCAAAAACACAGGUCUCUGCUAAACCGUAAGGUGAUGUAUAGGGGCUGACGCCUGCCCGGUGCUGGAAGGUUAAGAGGAGUGGUUAGCUUCUGCGAAGCUACGAAUCGAAGCCCCAGUAAACGGCGGCCGUAACUAUAACGGUCCUAAGGUAGCGAAAUUCCUUGUCGGGUAAGUUCCGACCCGCACGAAAGGCGUAACGAUUUGGGCACUGUCUCAACGAGAGACUCGGUGAAAUCAUAGUACCUGUGAAGAUGCAGGUUACCCGCGACAGGACGGAAAGACCCCGUGGAGCUUUACUGUAGCCUGAUAUUGAAAUUCGGCACAGCUUGUACAGGAUAGGUAGGAGCCUUUGAAACGUGAGCG